This 253-nucleotide ribosomal RNA is filed under the name uncultured bacterium. Its description in RNAcentral is "partial 16S ribosomal RNA". It matches the Rfam family "Bacterial small subunit ribosomal RNA", at positions 524 to 776 of the family's 1533-position model. The record is from RNAcentral.
UACGGAGGGUGCAAGCGUUAUCCGGAUUCACUGGGUUUAAAGGGUGCGUAGGUGGGCAGGUAAGUCAGUGGUGAAAUCUCCGGGCUUAACCCGGAAACUGCCAUUGAUACUAUCAGUCUUGAAUACCGUGGAGGUAAGCGGAAUAUGUCAUGUAGCGGUGAAAUGCUUAGAUAUGACAUAGAACACCCAUUGCGAAGGCAGCUUACUACACGAUCAUUGACGCUGAGGCACGAAAGCGUGGGGAGCAAACAGG